GUGUGUGUGUGUGUGUGUGUGUGUGUGUGUGUGUGUGUGUGUGUGUGUGUGUGUGUGUGUGCGUGCGUGUGUGUGCGCGCGUGUGCGUGCGUGCGUGCGUGGGCGUGGGUGUGUAUACAGAGUGCAUAUGUGUAGCUGUAGUCCAUUAUCUAACAUUUUAAUCAUGUAUGUCAUUUUUUCCCCUGUUGUAUUUUUUAAGAGUUACAGUUUUGAGUGAGCCUGUGUGCCAUUUGAUUCACCCUCUUUCUGUCAUUAAGGAUGCGUUUAUACCAAGCGAAUCGAAUCGAAUUAAUUCAUGAAGAAUCAACACGAUUCGUGAAUCGUAUUGAUUCGCCACAUUAGUUACAAUGUAACCGUUUACACCAGGCGAAUCGAGUCAAUUCAAGUCACGCCGAUUCAUGGCGAUUCAGAAUCAAUGAUUGGUUUGGACCCAUUUUUUCAUGAACCAAGGCGAUUCAGCCGAGGAGUAAGCACCAUGCUAGUGGACGUUCUGUUGUUGUUGUUGUUUUCGGGCUUCGACGAUCCCACAGAUCCUAUGAGCCCUGGUGGCGCGUGGACGUUCUAAUCAAUUUAGUAAGAGAAUAACGUGUUAUAUAAUGAUCCCAGUGAUCCUGUGCGCCGAGAUCAUGUACAUGUAAUGUACUGAACCACAGCUCAUAGAUAAAAGUAACUGCUGCAGCCUACGAAUUACGAGAUAAUAUUAUUCUGCAUAUUAAAAAAAAAAAAAAAAAAAAAAAAAAGACAA
This is a long non-coding RNA of Portunus trituberculatus (swimming crab), 745 nucleotides long. RefSeq lists it as uncharacterized. The transcript has 2 exons. NCBI's taxonomy places the organism in Eukaryota, Metazoa, Arthropoda, Malacostraca, Decapoda, Portunidae. The record is from RefSeq and is a predicted model, not a curated record.